This 253-nucleotide ribosomal RNA is filed under the name uncultured bacterium. Its description in RNAcentral is "partial 16S ribosomal RNA". It matches the Rfam family "Bacterial small subunit ribosomal RNA", at positions 524 to 776 of the family's 1533-position model. The record is from RNAcentral.
GACAGGGGGUGCAAACGUUGUUCGGAAUUACUGGGCGUAAAGCGCGUGUAGGCGGCCCUGCAAGUCGGAUGUGAAAUCCCACGGCUCAACCGUGGAAGUGCAUUCGAAACUGCAGGGCUAGAGUCCUGGAGAGGAAGGUGGAAUGCUUGGUGUAGAGGUGAAAUUCGUAGAUAUCAAGCGGAACACCGGUGGCGAAGGCGGCCUUCUGGACAGUGACUGACGCUGAGACGCGAAAGCGUGGGGAGCAAACAGG